GCAGUGUGCUGGGCUCCCUCCUGAAGCCAUGGGAUUCCCAGGGGACCCUGCAGUGCGGUAGGCGAGCUAACUUCUCCCACCAAGUGUUCCUGAUCCAGACAACCGAACUGGGCUUUGUGGGCCAACUAAGUCCUGCCCUAGCAGACCUCCAGAGGUGGUUCCAAGUCAACAAUAAUGGACCACCAAGAGCUUCCUCACUGCCAGAGAGCCAAGGGGUGGAGGACGAACAACUCUGGGCCAGUGAUGCUAUUUCCAGGGAUGAAGCUAGGAAUUCCAGUGGGGUGGGGCUCAUCAAUCCUACUGCCUGCCUCCACCUAGGGGACAUCCUCCUAUUUUUAAUCACAGUGGAGCACUACCCCCAGUAUGACAGAGACAACCUAUACAACACUAAUGCUGGUUUUGACUGGGGUCCCUUCCGAGACCUUGCUGUGGACAUGACUUUCAGAGGAACAUCUCCAUCACUGUUUUUUGUGGUCUUCCAUGAACCAGGAGUGUAUGCUUUCAGACUAAGCAGCAAUCCUC
Molecule: long non-coding RNA, 522 nt
Filed under: Scleropages formosus (Asian bonytongue)
Lineage: Eukaryota; Metazoa; Chordata; Actinopteri; Osteoglossiformes; Osteoglossidae
Description: lncRNA (ENSSFOG00015029929.1)
Source: RNAcentral